GAUGAACGCUGGCGGUGUGCCUAAUACAUGCAAGUCGAGCGAACAGACGAGGAGCUUACUCCUCUGACGUUAGCGGCGGACGGGUGAGUAACACGUGGAUAACCUACCUAUAAGACUGGGAUAACUUCGGGAAACCGGAGCUAAUACCGGAUAACAUGUUGAACCGCAUGGUUCAACAGUGAAAGACGGUCUUGCUGUCACUUAUAGAUGGAUCCGCGUCGCAUUAGCUAGUUGGUAAGGUGACGGCUUACCAAGGCAACGAUGCGUAGCCGACCUGAGAGGGUGAUCGGCCACACUGGAACUGAGACACGGUCCAGACUCCUACGGGAGGCAGCAGUAGGGAAUCUUCCGCAAUGGGCGAAAGCCUGACGGAGCAACGCCGCGUGAGUGAAGAAGGUCUUCGGAUCGUAAAACUCUGUUAUUAGGGAAGAACAAAUGUGUAAGUAACUAUGCACGUCUUGACGGUACCUAAUCAGAAAGCCACGGCUAACUACGUG
Molecule: ribosomal RNA, 497 nt
Filed under: uncultured bacterium
Lineage: Bacteria
Description: partial 16S ribosomal RNA
Rfam family: Bacterial small subunit ribosomal RNA
Source: RNAcentral